UACGGGGGGGGCAAGCGUUGUUCGGAAUUACUGGGCGUAAAGAGCGCGCAGGCGGCUUGGCAAGUCGGGUGUGAAAUCCCGGGGCUCAACCCCGUGACUGCAUCCGAUACUGUCAGGCUAGAGGUAGGUAGGGGAGAUCGGAAUUCCUGGUGUAGCGGUGAAAUGCGCAGAUAUCAGGAGGAACACCAAUGGCGAAGGCAGCUCGCUGGAACGGUACUGACGCUGAGGCGCGAAAGCGUGGGGAGCGAACAGG
This 253-nucleotide ribosomal RNA is filed under the name uncultured bacterium. RNAcentral describes it as "partial 16S ribosomal RNA". It matches the Rfam family "Bacterial small subunit ribosomal RNA", at positions 524 to 776 of the family's 1533-position model. The record is from RNAcentral.